This 947-nucleotide long non-coding RNA is filed under the name Neogobius melanostomus (round goby). RNAcentral's name for it is "lncRNA (ENSNMLG00000010093.1)". The record is from RNAcentral. Lineage: Eukaryota; Metazoa; Chordata; Actinopteri; Gobiiformes; Gobiidae.
GGACCAUAGGACCAACCAUGCAUAAGCAAAAUUAGACGAUACCAGAUACAAGGGAAUCAUCUGAAGCCAUAAUGUUGGCCAAAAGAACUAAAUUUACAAGCAAUUAUACAAAAAUUCUUAAAGAUACAAUAGGGAUCUGCUCUUUUAAUUUGCAUUGUGAAGAGAGGAUAAACAUACAAUAAUACAAUGUAUAUCUAACCAUAUUCCAUUAUUACUCAGUGCUGAGGAAGGGUACUCGGGUCACUGCGGACCUCUCACAUCCACUUUGCAGAUCCUUAAUGCUCCUCGCAUCAGGCACUAUAGGGUCCACCAACCUGCAAAAGCAUAUACAAGAAGUAAUUUGUCACAACUGCUGUUGCCACCAUAGGUGAUCUGUCAUUCAUUAUUUUUAAAUGUGCCAUGUUUGUUAUUAAUGUGUUUUAUGUGUAUUUGAUACUGUCAAAGAAGAAUUUCAUGUCACCUUCUCUUGUCACCCAUUAAGGUUUAUCCAUUUGUAUUUUUCUGACACGGGUGAAUAUGUGCUUUUUGUACAGAAAAGCAAAGAGGAGAAGAAGAAGAAAAAACACAAACAUGAAGAAAAGGAGGAAGAUCUUAUGGGGGGCGAAGCAGAGGCUCCCGUGACCCCGUCAGAGGAAGUCAAUGAAGUUGUUGCACCGCCCACAACUACUGAGCCAGAGGUUUCGGAUCUGGAUUUCUGGCUCUCAAAUGCUCCAGUGUCCUCUAACACCCAGGAAGCCAAGUCGGUAGCAGCUGAAGCGGCCCCUGUCCCAGAGGCCGCUCCUGGUCCAGCUGCGGACUCUGAGCCUGACGAACCCAAAGAAACUGAGGAGGAGGCAGUAAGUGAUGAUGACUUUAUAAUUAAAACCAUAAAAUCAUGCUCAAAUCAUUCAAGUCUGCCAUUACAAAUGUAUCUACUCUUUAAAAGAAGAGGUUCAGACACAAACUGA